GACGAACGCUGGCGGCGUGCUUAACACAUGCAAGUCGAACGGAAAGGCCCUGCUUUUGUGGGGUGCUCGAGUGGCGAACGGGUGAGUAACACGUGAGUAACCUGCCCUUGACUUUGGGAUAACUUCAGGAAACUGGGGCUAAUACCGGAUAGGAGCUCCUGCUGCAUGGUGGGGGUUGGAAAGUUUCGGCGGUUGGGGAUGGACUCGCGGCUUAUCAGCUUGUUGGUGGGGUAGUGGCUUACCAAGGCUUUGACGGGUAGCCGGCCUGAGAGGGUGACCGGCCCACAUGGGACUGAGGAACCGCCCAAGAUCCUACGGGGAGCAAGAGUGGGGAAUAUUUCACAAUGGGCCGAAGCCUGAUGCAGCAACGCCGGGUGCGGGAUGACGGCCUUCGGGUUGUAAACCCCUUUUGCCUGUGACGAAGGCUGAGUUACGGUAAUGGGGUAAGAAGCACCGGCUAACUACGUG
This 468-nucleotide ribosomal RNA is filed under the name uncultured bacterium. Its description in RNAcentral is "partial 16S ribosomal RNA". It matches the Rfam family "Bacterial small subunit ribosomal RNA", at positions 28 to 507 of the family's 1533-position model. The record is from RNAcentral.